This 506-nucleotide ribosomal RNA is filed under the name fungal endophyte sp. ICMP 16016. RNAcentral's name for it is "eukaryotic LSU rRNA". The stretch from base 162 to 315 matches the Rfam family "5.8S ribosomal RNA". Lineage: Eukaryota; Fungi. The record is from RNAcentral.
UCAUUAAUGGGCCCGUGCCCUCCGGGGUACGCGACCACCCUUGCGUAUAUAUCCUGUUGCUUUGGCGGGCCGCCCCCGGGCGCCGGCUCGCGCCGGAGCGUGCCCGCCAGAGGACCCCAACCCUGCGUGUUAGUGUCGUCGGAGUACUAUAGAAUAGUUAAAACUUUCAACAACGGAUCUCUUGGUUCUGGCAUCGAUGAAGAACGCAGCGAAAUGCGAUAAGUAAUGUGAAUUGCAGAAUUCAGUGAAUCAUCGAAUCUUUGAACGCACAUUGCGCCCGCUGGUAUUCCGGCGGGCAUGCCUGUUCGAGCGUCAUAUAAACCCAUCCGGCGUGCCGGGUCUUGGGCGCCGCCCCCGGGCGCGCCUCAAACGCAGUGGCGGUGCCGCCGGGCUCCGAGCGUAGUACAUACCCUCGCUAUGGACCCCCGGUGAGCGCUGGCCAGGAACCCCAUCUCUCAGGUUGACCUCGGAUCAGGUAGGGAUACCCGCUGAACUUAAGCAUAUCA